RNAcentral lists this ribosomal RNA (515 nucleotides) under uncultured bacterium. RNAcentral's name for it is "bacterial SSU rRNA". It matches the Rfam family "Bacterial small subunit ribosomal RNA", at positions 28 to 527 of the family's 1533-position model. The record is from RNAcentral.
GACGAACGCUGGCGGCGUGCCUAAUACAUGCAAGUCGAGCGGACCAAAGGGAGCUUGCUCCUGGAGGUUAGCGGCGAACGGGUGAGUAACACGUGGGCAACCUGCCUGUAAGACUGGGAUAACAUCGAGAAAUCGGUGCUAAUACCGGAUAAUAAAAAGAACUGCAUGGUUCUUUUUGAAAGAUGGUUUCGGCUAUCACUUACAGAUGGGCCCGCGGCGCAUUAGCUAGUUGGUGAGGUAACGGCUCACCAAGGCAACGAUGCGUAGCCGACCUGAGAGGGUGAUCGGCCACACUGGGACUGAGACACGGCCCAGACUCCUACGGGAGGCAGCAGUAGGGAAUCUUCCGCAAUGGACGAAAGUCUGACGGAGCAACGCCGCGUGAGUGAUGAAGGUUUUCGGAUCGUAAAACUCUGUUGUUAGGGAAGAACAAGUGCCGUUCGAAAGGGCGGCACCUUGACGGUACCUAACGAGAAAGCCACGGCUAACUACGUGCCAGCAGCCGCGGUAAAGUA